UUAUUAUUAUAUAUAACCCUUCUAUCUCGUAUUAAAUUAAAAAUUGAUUCAGUUUCCUGGUGUGUCCACACAUACGACACGUUUCUUUUAAAACUCUUCUUCUUCGCUUGUGAUAACGUCCGUCAAAAUCCGCUUUUGUUUUGUUUUUUUUAUCCAUGUGACUCUAGUUGCGGAAAAAGGUCUUUCCACUGAUGUUUUGCGUGAUAUACGAAUUGCGCUACACCAGAAAAACCACCUCUUGCCAGCGCAAAAUCUUUUAAUUGUACAACAAGAGUUU
Sphaeramia orbicularis (orbiculate cardinalfish) is the source of this 277-nucleotide long non-coding RNA. RefSeq lists it as uncharacterized. The transcript is spliced from 3 exons. The record is from RefSeq and is a predicted model, not a curated record. Lineage: Eukaryota; Metazoa; Chordata; Actinopteri; Kurtiformes; Apogonidae.